RNAcentral lists this ribosomal RNA (270 nucleotides) under uncultured bacterium. RNAcentral describes it as "partial 16S ribosomal RNA". It matches the Rfam family "Bacterial small subunit ribosomal RNA", at positions 28 to 308 of the family's 1533-position model. The record is from RNAcentral.
GAUGAACGCUGGCGGCGUGCCUAAUACAUGCAAGUCGAACGGUGAUAGUAAUAUCAUAGUGGCGACCGGGUGCGUAACACGUAGCUAACCUGCCCUCUCGCGGGGGACAACUGUUGGAAACGACAGCUAAUACCGCAUGACAUCUCAGGGAACAAAUACUUGAGAUUAAACUUACGGGGCGAGAGGAGGGGGCUGCGGCCCAUCAGGUAGUUGGUGAGGUAAAAGCUCACCAAGCCGACGACGGGUAGGGGGCCUGAGAGGGUGGUCCCC